GGAAAACAAAGAGGGCCGUUCACCGAGGGGAAAAAGAAACCCCCGCGUGACGACUGGAGAUGAAAACAGGAAUAAAGUAGACAAAUAACUUACAAUCCAUACAUCAGGUUACUCAAAAUGACCUCCAUUCCACAAUCCCGGCUCCGUUUCCCAGGAAUGACAUCACUUCUGACCCUUCCGAAUAACGUCACUUCCGGCUCCGCCAUAGUAACGUUACUUCCAGCCCCAUUAUGAUGACGUCACUUUUGGCUCCGCCAUGAUGACAUUGCUUCCGUUCCUCUGCUGUGAUAUCAGCCGCAGGAAAACCUACAGUAUCUGACUCAUCCAUGAAGACGUCACUUCCAGCUCUGGUGCCACGACUGACAUCAUUUUCGGUUCUGCCGCCUUGAUUGACGUCACUUCCGUUUCCCCUAUGUCACAUCUGUUCUGAUUAUUUAAAACCACCAUUUUUGCAACUCAACUUCAGUCUUGUGAACAUCUCUGUUCCUUUCAAAGCCUUUUGCAGCCAGGGAUAUUACACGGGUAGCUGCCCCAAACCUUUUUAAGUGUGUCGAGUCUGAUCAUUUUAGACCUGCCACCAUUUUGUCUAUAUUAACCCACUGUACACAAUGCUACGCUGUCAAAUGCCAAGUUUUUGAUCAAAUUUGGCUAUCUUGCAAUUCUUUCUGUCUGGACAUUAUACGGGGUAAUUCCGCAACUCUUUAUUAGACUUUGUGGAAUUCUUUGACGUAUCACAGGGUCCACAUCAAUGACAUGCUGGACUGGACUCAUAACACAGAGGAACUACAGAAGAAAGGGAAGAGCGGGC
Long non-coding RNA from Polypterus senegalus (gray bichir), 808 nucleotides. RefSeq lists it as uncharacterized. Lineage: Eukaryota; Metazoa; Chordata; Cladistia; Polypteriformes; Polypteridae. The transcript has 3 exons. The record is from RefSeq and is a predicted model, not a curated record.